This 713-nucleotide long non-coding RNA is filed under the name Capsella grandiflora. Its description in RNAcentral is "long non-coding RNA (CGRA_LNC001345)". The record is from RNAcentral. Lineage: Eukaryota; Viridiplantae; Streptophyta; Magnoliopsida; Brassicales; Brassicaceae.
CAUGACUACUUAACAGGGGGAUUCACCGCAAAUACUAGUUUGGCUCAUUCGAGAUAAUGGCCUACUUCUUCACAUCCACCGUGCAAUGCAUGCUGUUAUUGAUAGACAGAAGAAUCAUGGUUUGCACUUCCGUGUACUAGCUAAAGCUUUACGUCUAUCUGGUGGAGAUCAUNNNNNNNNNNGGAGAUCAUAUUCACGCGGGUACAGUAGUAGGUAAACUUGAAGGAGACAGAGAGUAAACUUUGGGCUUUGUUGAUUUACUGCGCGAUGAUUAUGUUGAAAAAGAUCNNNNNNNNNNAAGAUCGAAGCCGCGGUAUCUUUUUCACUCAAGAUUGGGUCUCGCUACCAUACCACAAGGCUAUCUGAGUUCACAGGUUUAGUUGCCUGUACCUUUUUUUGAAUCGAUAUUUUUUUGGUGUUCAGUCUACCGCUCCGUGGGUACAAGAUCGAAAAGAAUGCAUUAAAUGGAUGCAUUGAGAUUCCGUAAGUAACUCAGUGAGUGCUUUCUAAGAAAGAAGGGCUUGGAAGAAGAAAAUGAAAUAGGAACAACCGCGCUGGUCGUAAUAGAUCGACUUUCAUGCNNNNNNNNNNAAUGAAAUAGGAACAACCGCGCUGGUCGUAAUAGAUCGACUUUCAUGCUGAAGCAAGAACUAGCAUGAAAGUUCCAUUUCAGGGAAGGACGACGGUACCAUGAUACUUUCUGUUUUGUCGAG